This 510-nucleotide ribosomal RNA is filed under the name uncultured bacterium. Its description in RNAcentral is "partial 16S ribosomal RNA". It matches the Rfam family "Bacterial small subunit ribosomal RNA", at positions 28 to 507 of the family's 1533-position model. The record is from RNAcentral.
GACGAACGCUGGCGGCGUGCUUAACACAUGCAAGUCGAACGAAGAGCGAUGGAAGCUUGCUUCUAUCAAUCUUAGUGGCGAACGGGUGAGUAACGCGUAAUCAACCUGCCCUUCAGAGGGGGCCAACAGUUGGUAACGACUGCUCAUACCGCAUACGAUCUAACCUCGGCGUCGAGGGUAGAUGAACGGUGGCCUCUACAUGUAAGCUAUCACUGCAGGUGGGGAUUGCGUCUGUUUCGCUAGUUGGAGGGGUAACGGCCCCCCUAGGCGAUGAUCAGUAGCACGUAUGAGAGGAUGAACAGCCACAUUGGGAGGGAGACACGGCCCAGAGGCAUACGGGAGGGAGCAGUGGGGAAUCUGGCGCAAUGGAUGAAAGACUGACGGAGCAACGCCGAGUGAGGGAUGACGGCCGUCGGGUUGUAAAGCUCUGUUAAUCGGGUCGAAAGGGCUUCUUGCGAAGAGGGAGAAGGAUUGACGGUACCGGAAUAGAAAGCAACGGCUAACUACGUG